RNAcentral lists this ribosomal RNA (161 nucleotides) under Macrozamia lucida. RNAcentral's name for it is "5.8S rRNA". It matches the Rfam family "5.8S ribosomal RNA". From Rfam's summary of the family: 5.8S ribosomal RNA (5.8S rRNA) is a component of the large subunit of the eukaryotic ribosome. The record is from RNAcentral. Lineage: Eukaryota; Viridiplantae; Streptophyta; Cycadopsida; Cycadales; Zamiaceae.
GUAUGACUCUCAGUAAUGGAUAUCUUGGCUCUCGCCAUGAUGAAGAACGUAGCGAAAUGUGAUACUUAGUGUGAAUUGCAGAAUCCCAUGAAUCAUCCAGCGUUUGAAUGUAAGUUACGCCCGAGGCCUCGGCCCAGGACACGUCUGCUUGGGCAACACAU